RNAcentral lists this microRNA (22 nucleotides) under Tribolium castaneum (red flour beetle). RNAcentral describes it as "tca-miR-9e-3p". Its record names the gene tca-miR-9e-3p. Lineage: Eukaryota; Metazoa; Arthropoda; Insecta; Coleoptera; Tenebrionidae. The record is from miRBase by way of RNAcentral.
AUAAAGCUGGUUCAGCAAAGCA